AUCAGGCCAGCAUCGGUUMGAGCGGCCGGACAAAGGCCGCGGGAAUGUAGCUUCCUCCGGGGAGUCUUAUAGCCCGCGGCGCAAUGCGGCCAGCCCGGAUCGAGGACCGCGMUUCGGCUAGGAUGCUGGCGUAAUGGUUGCAAGCGACCCGUCUUGAAACACGGACCAAGGAGUCUAACAUCUAUGCGAGUGUUUGGGUGUCAAACCCAUGCGCGUAAUGAAAGUAACCGGAGGUGAGAACCCGUCAGGGCGCAUCAUCGACCGAUCCUGAUGUCUUCGGAUGGAUUUGAGUACGAGCAUAGCUGUUGGGACCCGAAAGAUGGUGAACUAUGCCUGAAUAGGGUGAAGCCAGAGGAAACUCUGGUGGAGGCUCGCAGCGGU
Molecule: ribosomal RNA, 381 nt
Filed under: Neoprotoparmelia pulchra
Lineage: Eukaryota; Fungi; Ascomycota; Lecanoromycetes; Lecanorales; Parmeliaceae
Description: eukaryotic LSU rRNA
Rfam family: Eukaryotic large subunit ribosomal RNA
Source: RNAcentral